CUACGGGAGGCUCCAGUGGGGAAUAUUGGGCAAUGGGCGCAAGCCUGACCCAGCAACGCCGCGUGAGGGAAGAAUGUCUUCGGAUUGUAAACCUCCGUCCUUGGGGACGAAAAAAAUGACGGUACCCAAGGAGGAAGCUCCGGCUAACUACGUGCCAGCAGCCGCGGUAAUACGUAGGGAGCAAGCGUUGUCCGGAAUUAUUGGGCGUAAAGGGUGCGUAGGCGGCGCUGUAAGUCAGAUGUGAAAUCCCCGGGCUUAACUCGGGAGUUGCAUUUGAAACUACAGUGCUUGAGUAAAGAAGGGGUAAGUGGAAUUCCUAGUGUAGCGGUGGAAUGCGUAGAUAUUAGGAGGAACACCAGUGGCGUAGGCGACUUACUGGUCUUUUACUGACGCUGAGGCACGAAAGCGUGGGGAGCAAACAGGAUUAGAUACCCCUGUAGUC
RNAcentral lists this ribosomal RNA (442 nucleotides) under uncultured bacterium. RNAcentral describes it as "partial 16S ribosomal RNA". It matches the Rfam family "Bacterial small subunit ribosomal RNA", at positions 339 to 795 of the family's 1533-position model. The record is from RNAcentral.